This is a long non-coding RNA of Acinonyx jubatus (cheetah), 2507 nucleotides long. RefSeq lists it as uncharacterized. Lineage: Eukaryota; Metazoa; Chordata; Mammalia; Carnivora; Felidae. The record is from RefSeq and is a predicted model, not a curated record. The transcript is spliced from 3 exons.
AGCCCCCAGCAAGCCCCGCACUGGCCCUGCAUCCUCAGCCCCCUCCAGGGCCAGGCAGGUGGGGAGGGAGGGCACAGCCUGGGGCCAGCCCGGCUCAGGUGGUCUCCAGGGCCUAUCCUCUGUGCCUGGAGCUCCGGAGCCCCCAACAGUCACACUCCCAAGGCAGGCUGAAGGUGGGGUGGAGGGAUCAUCUCUCUGACUCUACAAGGUGCCAGCGGUCUGACCCUGGGGCUGCCCUGUGCCCAGCUGAGGCAAGAGCCCAACAUCUGAGUGAUUAAUCUGGAGGUUGCCUGGCCCGAGUGGGAUGUCAUCUUGCUUGGCUCUCAAGGUAACCCUACCAGUGGGCGGGUCCUCCGAUGUCCUCAGUGCCCAGAGGAGGAGACAGGGACAGAGGCCUGAGGCCCCCGGGCCGGUGUGUGGUGGGGACUGACAGGCAGCCCGCUGUUUGGGUCUGCUUGUCUCCCAGCUGUUCCCCUGGCCAGAACCUGGAACCACCCUCGGGCCUUCUCAGCCCACUCCAGGGAAGGCGUUGGUCAGGAGUCCAUGGGGAAGCCAGAAGCCCUGGAGUGGCCACCACCGGCCUCAGGCCCACCCAAACCCAGACAUCACAACCAGCCCCAAAGGCAAGGUUUCAUGAGUCGGGCUUUAAGCAGCUCCCCUGUCACUGGGCCUCAGUUUCCCUAUCUGUGAGAGGGGUCAGGUGAGGUGACUGUCCAUACCCAGUCCUGACCCAUCCCUGCCACCGAUGGGGUUGCUGGGUAGGGCGAGAGAGAGACAGACUCCCAUCACUGUCUGCUCCAGGAGCGCGGGACUGCCGUGACGGGGGCCCCUGCAGCUUCUAAGAGUAAGUGAGGCGUUGAGGAACAGUGACCUGGGUGCUUGUAUUAGGGGAGACGUUUAUUUAUUCUCAGGACAGAACAUCUAAGAAGGAAAAGGGGCACUUUUGGAGCAUCUGAUUGAGCCACCCUGGGGCAGAGGGGCCAGUGUGAGCACAUGCGCACAGUGGUCCUGUGGCCUCACUGCUGAGUCCAUCGAGAGGGAACCCCGGAAAAGCAAUUAAAAAUCGGCUUCACCUACGAGGAGCAGAGUACCAAAAAGGCAAAGGAACAAAGUCCAUCCCUGAACCCCCAGCCCUGACAAGAGAGGCAACACACCCUCAUGACUCAGGGAAGGAGGUAGUGCCCCGGGCUGUUAGCCCCUCACAACCUCCUCGAACACACGGCCCCGGGCUGGAACCGAUCUGGAGAAAGGACACCGCGAGUACUUCUUACCACCCACACGUGUCCAGCGUGGCCCCCAGUCCCGACCUCCUGGAGGCUGCUAGGAGCCCAGGGCGGGGAUGAACCAGAGGACGCUAGGACGAGGGACAGGGAAGGACGUGCCCGCAGACCUGUAAGGGAGUAAGGGACGCCCAGAUUCUGCCCAACCCACCCUGGCCUGGGCUCACAGGCUGGCUCACCUUUUGUGAUGGUGGUGACGGCCGAAAAGGCAGGCCCGAAGGUCGUUUCCAUUCUGGUCUGGACAGAGAACAGAUGAGACUUGGCAUCGACCCCCAGCGAGGAUGUGUACACACACGUGGACGGGCACCGACGCGCUUUCAUAGCACCAUGGUCACGUGCGCGCGUGAGCUCACGCGGACACACGCGGCACAGGCCCUCCACGUAGGGAGGGGACUGCUCUGGAGGCUCUGCGGGGACCCCGGCACACAAGGUAGGACAGUCCCGGUCUGCAGGAUGGAAGGACGCUGGCCACACCCCAGACGACCGGUCGGUGAUGUACCUGGGGCCCAGCCUCUCAGAGGCUCAUCAUGCAGAUAAAGCCCCUUUGGGACAGGGGGAGGAGAUGAGAGUCCUGAUCCCAGACCUUGUGCAGGUCCAACUGUCGACUCAGGACUCACAGGCUGAGGUGGUGGGGAGAAGGCACAGUGGGUAUCAUCCUGGGCCUGCAAGAAUUACUCCCCCCCACCCCACUCCACCCAAGACGAGGGGUCUGGCCAUUAGAGAGGAAAGGGGACCAGCCUGCAGCCACGAUCGUGGAUAGCCUGGGGAAGCCACCCCACUGCCAGGGCGACGCCCACCUUCCCAGGGGCCCUCCUGGGGUCAGCGUCCACGGCAGCGUCUAUCUCCCCUCUGGAGUCAGCUGUAGCCUCGAGGCCCCAGCUUUAAGCCAGGCUCCCCGCGAGGAGGAGCACACGUGAGCUCUCUCCCCAGGAGACCCCUGGGAGGCCACAGCGCGGGCUCAUCACCUGCUGCUAGGCCGGGCCAGCAGAACGAGUGUUGGGAACUCCCGGGGAGGCCGGCACGUCCCGCUCUCGUGGGGCACAAGGGCACAUGCAGGCUGGGGCCCACCCUGUGCUGUGAAGGCCCCCCAUGACUGAGGAGGGGGCUCCGGGUGGAGGGGCUGCUGAGCCAUCUGGCCAUGUCUGCCUCACACACGCCACAGCCACUCGGUGGUCCUGCAACCCAACCUAGGGGUCUACGGGGAGGGGCUGGCUCCCGAGCCGUGUG